UAUAUUUUAGUGUAUGAUGCACAGUAGUUUUUGAUGCUAUUAGAUUUAGUUUAAUUCUAAAAAAUAUAA
RNAcentral lists this transfer RNA (69 nucleotides) under Acronicta hercules. Its description in RNAcentral is "tRNA-Gln". Lineage: Eukaryota; Metazoa; Arthropoda; Insecta; Lepidoptera; Noctuidae. The record is from RNAcentral.